CCCAGACUCCUACGGGAGGCAGCAGUGGGGAAUAUUGGGCAAUGGGCGCAAGCCUGACCCAGCAACGCCGCGUGAAGGAAGAAGGCUUUCGGGUUGUAAACUUCUUUUAUCAGGGACGAAGCAAGUGACGGUACCUGAUGAAUAAGCCACGGCUAACUACGUGCCAGCAGCCGCGGUAAUACGUAGGUGGCAAGCGUUAUCCGGAUUUACUGGGUGUAAAGGGCGUGUAGGCGGGGAAGCAAGUCAGAUGUGAAAACCACGGGCUCAACCUGUGGCCUGCAUUUGAAACUGUUGGUCUUGAGUAUAGGAGAGGCAGGCGGAAUUCCUAGUGUAGCGGUGAAAUGCGUAGAUAUUAGGAGGAACACCAGUGGCGAAGGCGGCCUGCUGGACGACAACUGACGGUGAGGCGCGAAAGCGUGGGGAGCAAACAGGAUUAGAUACCCCCGUAUGA
Molecule: ribosomal RNA, 451 nt
Filed under: uncultured bacterium
Lineage: Bacteria
Description: bacterial SSU rRNA
Rfam family: Bacterial small subunit ribosomal RNA
Source: RNAcentral